GACCGUGCAAAGGUAGCAUAAUCAUUUGCCUUAUAAUUGAAGGCUAGUAUGAAUGGUUUGACAAGAAUUAAGCUGUCUCUUUUUAAUUGGGUAUAAUUUUAUAAAUAGGUGAAGAAGCCUAUAUUAUAUUGAAAGACAAGAAGACCCUGUCGAGCUUAAAAUGAGUUGGUAAAUUAUGUAUAUAUUCUAUAAAAGAAUUAAAUUACUAAAAAUUUUGGUUGGGGCGACUGAGGAACAAAAGAAGCUUCCUUUAGAUCAGAGAAUACAAACGAGUGUUGAUCCAAAAAUUUUGAUUAAAGAAAUUAGUUACCGCAGGGAUAACAGCAUAAUCCUCUUUGAGAGUCCUAAUCGAAAAGGGGGUUUGUGACCUCGAUGUUGGACCAGAAUAUCCUAAAGAUGCAGCCGUCUUUAAUGGUUGGUCUGUUCGACCAUUAAAAUUCUACGUGAUCUGAGUUCAGACCGGCGUGAGCCAGGUCAGUUUCUAUCUUCAAUUUUUAAAAUAAUUUUAGUACGAAAGGACCAAGUUAUUUCAAGAUUCUUGUUGUUAAAUGAUUAAAUAUAAAAAAGUAUUAAAUAUUUAAAACAUCAAAUUAGCAAAGAUAAUGCAAUUGACUUAGGAUCAAUAGACAUAGGUGAAAUUCCUUUAUUUGAUAAAAUGUCUAUGUAUGAAGGUGGCAGAAAAA
Molecule: ribosomal RNA, 683 nt
Filed under: Plicopurpura columellaris
Lineage: Eukaryota; Metazoa; Mollusca; Gastropoda; Neogastropoda; Muricidae
Description: partial 16S ribosomal RNA
Rfam family: Bacterial large subunit ribosomal RNA (bases 1-512)
Source: RNAcentral